GCUUCUAGAGAAAAAUAAUGAGGGGUGUCACGGGAUAUGACUAUAUAGGUCUUGUAGAGGAGAAACAGGCGCAUCUUUUGCGCAAGGUAUCGAAGGGCGCUAUGUUAAAAAAUCAGAAACUAGAGCUCAAAAUUAAAAAAAAAAUGUUAAAAAUAGGGGGGUUGGCUUAUUCCAUGGCUUCUAGAGAAAAAUAAUGAGGGGUGUCACGGGAUAUGACUAUAUAGGUCUUGUAGAGGAGAAACAGGCGCAUCUUUUGCGCAAGGUAUCGAAGGGCGCUAUGUUCAAAAAUGUGAAACUAGAGCUCAAAAUUUAAAAAAAAAAAUGUUAAAAACAGGGGGGUUGGCCUAUUCCAUGGCUUCUAGAGAAAAAUAAUAUGGGGUGUCACGGGGUAUGACUAUAUAGGUCUUGUAGAGGAGAAACAGGCGCAUCUUUUGCGCAAGGUAUCGAAGGGCACUAUGUUAAAAAAUCUGAAACUAGAGCUCAAAAUUUAAAAAAAAAAAAGUUAAAAACAGGGGGGUUGGCCUAUUCCAUGGCUUCUAGAGAAAAAUAAUGAGGGGUGUCACGGGGUAUGACUAUAUAGGUCUUGUAGAGGAGAAACAGGCGCAUCUUUUGCGCAAGGUAUUGAAGGGCGCUAUGUUCAAAAAUCUGAAACUAGAGCUCAAAAUUUAAAAAAAAAAAAUGUUAAAAACAGAGGGGUUGGCCUAUUCCAUGGCUUCUAGAGAAAAAUAAUGAGGGGUGUCACGGGGUAUGACUAUAUAGGUCUUGUAGAGGAGAAACAGGCGCAUCUUUUGUGCAAGGUAUCGAAGGGCGCUAUGUUCAAAAAUCUGAAACUAGAGCUCAAAAUGUUAAAAAAAAUGUUAAAAACAGGGGGGUUGGCCUAUUCCAUGGCUUCUAGAGAAAAAUAAUGAGGGGUGUCACGGGGUAUGACUAUAUAGGUCUUGUAGAGGAGAAACAGGCGCAUCUUUUGCGCAAGGUAUUGAAGGGCGCUAUGUUCAAAAAUCUGAAACUAGAGCUCAAAAUUAAAAAAAAAAAAUGUUAAAAACAGGGGGUUGGCCUAUUCCAUGGCUUCUAGAGAAAAAUAAUGAGGGGUGUCACGGGGUAUGACUAUAUAGGUCUUGUAGAGGAGAAACAGGCGCAUAUUUUGCGCAAGGUAUCGAAGGGCGCUAUGUUAAAAAAUCUGAAACUAGAGCUCAAAAUUAAAAAAAAAAAAAGUUAAAAACAGGGGGGUUGUCCUAUUCCAUGGUUUCUAGAGAAAAUAAUGAGGGGUGUCACGGGAUAUGACUAUAUAGGUCUUGUAGAGGAGAAACAGGCGCAUCUUUUGUGCAAGGUAUCGAAGGGCGCUAUGUUCAAAAAUCUGAAACUAGAGCUCAAAAUUAAAAAAAAAAAUGUUAAAAACAGGGGGGUUGGCCUAUUCCAUGGCUUCUAGAGAAAAAUAAUGAGAGGUGUCACGGGGUAUGAUUAUAUAGGUCUUGAAAAGGAGAAACAGGCGCAUCUUUUGCGCAAGGCAUCGAAGGGCGCUAUGUUCAAAAAUCUGAAACUAGAGCUCAAAAUUAAAAAAAAAUAUGUUAAAAACAGGGGGGUUGGCCUAUUCCAUGGCUUCUAGAGAAAAAUAAUGAGGGGUGUCACGGGGUAUGACUAUAUAGGUCUUGUAGAGGAGAAACAGGCGCAUCUUUUGUGCAAGGUAUCGAAGGGCGCUAUGUUCAAAAAUCUGAAACUAGAGCUCAAAAUUUAAAAAAAAAAAUGUUAAAAACAGGGGGUUGGCUUAUUCCAUGGCUUCUAGAGAAAAAUAAUGAGGGGUGUCACGGGGUAUGACUAUAAAGGUCUUGUAGAGGAGAAACAGGCGCAUCUUUUGCGCAAGGUAUCGAAGGGCGCUAUGUUAAAAAAUCAGAAACUAGAGCUCAAAAUUAAAAAAAAAAUGUUAAAAAUAGGGGGGUUGGCCUAUUCCAUGGCUUCUAGAGAAAAAUAAUGAGGGGUGUCACGGAAUAUGACUAUAUAGGUCUUGUAGAGGAGAAACAGGCGCAUCUUUUGCGCAAGGUAUCGAAGGGCACUAUGUUCAAAAAUCUGAAACUAGAGCUCAAAAAUUAAAAAAAAAAUGUUAAAAACAGGGGGUUGGCCUAUUCCAUGGCUUCUAAAGAAAAAUAAUGAGGGGUGUCACGGGGUAUGACUAUAUAGGUUUUGUAGAGGAGAAACAGGCGCAUCUUUUGCGCAAAGUAUCGAAGGGCGCUAUGUUCAAAAAUCUGAAUCUAGAGCUCAAAAUUAAAAAAAAAAUGUUAAAAACAGGGGAAUUGGCCUAUUCCAUGGCUUCUAGAGAAAAACAAUGAGGAGUGUCACGGGGUAUGACUAUAUAGGUCUUGUAGAGGAGAAACAGGCGCAUCUUUUGUGCAAGGUAUCGAAGGGCGCUAUGUUCAAAAAUCUGAAACUAGAGCUCAAAAUUUAAAAAAAAAAUGUUAAAAACAGGGGGGUUGGCCUAUUCCAUGGCUUCUAGAGAAAAAUAAUGAGGGAUGUCACGGGGUAUGACUAUAUAGGUCUUGUAUAAGAGAAAUAGGCGCAUCUUUUGCGCAAGGUAUCGAAGGGCGCUAUGUUCAAAAAUCUGAAACUAGAGCUCAAAAUUUAAAAAAAAAAUG
Molecule: long non-coding RNA, 2624 nt
Organism: Mytilus californianus (California mussel)
Lineage: Eukaryota; Metazoa; Mollusca; Bivalvia; Mytilida; Mytilidae
Exons: 7
Source: RefSeq, a predicted model, not a curated record